Molecule: ribosomal RNA, 491 nt
Filed under: uncultured bacterium
Lineage: Bacteria
Description: partial 16S ribosomal RNA
Rfam family: Bacterial small subunit ribosomal RNA
Source: RNAcentral
GAUGAACGCUGGCUACAGGCUUAACACAUGCAAGUCGAGGGGAAACGCCGGGGAAGCUUGCUUCCCCGGGCGUCGGCCGGCGCACGGGUGAGUAACGCGUAUCCAACCUGCCUCUGACUGAGGGAUAACCCGUCGAAAGUCGGCCUAAUACCUCAUGGUAUCGUCUGCGGGCAUCCAACGACGAUUAAAGAUUUCAUCGGUCAGGGAUGGGGAUGCGUCUGAUUAGCUUGUUGGCGGGGUAACGGCCCACCAAGGCUACGAUCAGUAGGGGUUCUGAGAGGAAGGUCCCCUACAUUGGAACUGAGACACAGUCCAAAAUCGUACGGGAGGCAGCAGUGAGGAAUAUUGGGCAAUGGGCGAGAGCCUGAAACAGCCAAGUAGCGUGCAGGAAGACGGCCAUAUGGGUUGUAAACUGCUUUUAUGCGGGGAUAAAGUGAGGGACGUGUCCCUCAUUGAAGGUACCGAAUGAAUAAGGACCGGCUAAUUCCGUG